Molecule: ribosomal RNA, 406 nt
Filed under: uncultured bacterium
Lineage: Bacteria
Description: bacterial SSU rRNA
Rfam family: Bacterial small subunit ribosomal RNA
Source: RNAcentral
GGGGAAUAUUGCACAAUGGGCGUAAGCCUGAUGCAGCGACGCCGCGUGGGGGAUGACGGCCUUCGGGUUGUAAACCUCUUUCGACAGGGACGAAGCUUUUGUGACGGUACCUGUAUAAGAAGCACCGGCUAACUACGUGCCAGCAGCCGCGGUAAUACGUAGGGUGCGAGCGUUGUCCGGAAUUACUGGGCGUAAAGAGCUCGUAGGUGGUUUGUCGCGUCGUCUGUGAAAUUCCGGGGCUUAACUUCGGGCGUGCAGGCGAUACGGGCAUAACUUGAGUGCUGUAGGGGAGACUGGAAUUCCUGGUGUAGCGGUGGAAUGCGCAGAUAUCAGGAGGAACACCGAUGGCGAAGGCAGGUCUCUGGGCAGUAACUGACGCUGAGGAGCGAAAGCAUGGGGAGCGAAC